This 529-nucleotide ribosomal RNA is filed under the name uncultured bacterium. Its description in RNAcentral is "bacterial SSU rRNA". It matches the Rfam family "Bacterial small subunit ribosomal RNA", at positions 8 to 521 of the family's 1533-position model. The record is from RNAcentral.
AGAGUUUGAUCCUGGCUCAGGAUGAACGCUGGCGGCGUGCCUAAUACAUGCAAGUAGAACGCUGAAGAAAGAGCUUGCUCUUUUGGAAGAGUUGCGAACGGGUGAGUAACGCGUAGGUAACCUGCCUGGUAGUGGGGGAUAACUAUUGGAAACGAUAGCUAAUACCGCAUAAUAGCUUUGAUCGCAUGAUUGAGGUUUGAAAGGUGCAAUUGCAUCACUACCAGAUGGACCUGCGUUGUAUUAGCUAGUAGGUGAGGUAAAGGCUCACCUAGGCGACGAUACAUAGCCGACCUGAGAGGGUGAACGGCCACACUGGGACUGAGACACGGCCCAGACUCCUACGGGAGGCAGCAGUAGGGAAUCUUCGGCAAUGGGGGCAACCCUGACCGAGCAACGCCGCGUGAGUGAAGAAGGUUUUCGGAUCGUAAAGCUCUGUUGUAAGAGAAGAACGUGUGUGAGAGUGGAAAGUUCACACAGUGACGGUAACUUACCAGAAAGGGACGGCUAACUACGUGCCAGCAGCCGCGGU